UGAGGAAUAUUGGUCAAUGGACGAGAGUCUGAACCAGCCAAGUAGCGUGAAGGAUGACUGCCCUAUGGGUUGUAAACUUCUUUUAUACGGGAAUAAAGUUUGCCACGUGUGGCAUUUUGUAUGUACCGAUGAAUAAGGAUCGGCUAACUCCGUGCCAGCAGCCGCGGUAAUACGGAGGAUCCGAGCGUUAUCCGGAUUUAUUGGGUUUAAAGGGAGCGUAGGCGGAAGCUUAAGUCAGUUGUGAAAGUUUGCGGCUUAACCGUAAAAUUGCAGUUGAUACUGGAUAUCUUGAGUGCAGUUGAGGCAGGCGGAAUUCGUGGUGUAGCGGUGAAAUGCUUAGAUAUCACGAAGGACUCCGAUUGCGAAGGCAGCCUGCUAAGCUGCAACUGACAUUGAGGCUCGAAAGUGUGGGUAUCAAACAGGAUUAGAUACCC
RNAcentral lists this ribosomal RNA (434 nucleotides) under uncultured bacterium. RNAcentral's name for it is "bacterial SSU rRNA". It matches the Rfam family "Bacterial small subunit ribosomal RNA", at positions 355 to 787 of the family's 1533-position model. The record is from RNAcentral.